UACGUAGGGGGCGAGCGUUGUCCGGAAUUAUUGGGCGUAAAGAGCGUGUAGGCGGUUCGGUAAGUCUGCCGUGAAAACCUGGGGCUCAACCCCGGGCGUGCGGUGGAUACUGCCGGGCUAGAGGGUGGUAGAGGCGAGUGGAAUUCCCGGUGUAGCGGUGAAAUUCGCAGAUAUCGGGAGGAACACCUAUGGCGAAGGCAGCUCGCUGGGACGUUACUGACGCUGAGACGCGAAAGCGUGUGGAGCAAACAGG
This 253-nucleotide ribosomal RNA is filed under the name uncultured bacterium. RNAcentral describes it as "partial 16S ribosomal RNA". It matches the Rfam family "Bacterial small subunit ribosomal RNA", at positions 524 to 776 of the family's 1533-position model. The record is from RNAcentral.